CCAGCCCGCUCAGAAACUCAAUGAAUUGGACGGGGCCCGCACAAGCGGUGGAGUAUGUGGUUUAAUUCGAUGCAACGCGAAGAACCUUACCUGGUCUUGACAUCCCGGAGACCCUUAGGAAACUAGGGGGUGCUUCCAUCUGGAAGAAUCUGGAGACAGGUGCUGCAUGGCUGUCGUCAGCUCGUGUCGUGAGAUGUUGGGUUAAGUCCCGCAACGAGCGCAACCCUUGCCUUUAGUUGCCAGCAGUUCGGCUGGGCACUCUAAAGGGACUGCCGGUGUUAAACCGGAGGAAGGUGGGGAUGACGUCAAGUCCUCAUGGCCUUUAUGACCAGGGCUACACACGUACUACAAUGGCCGAUACAAAGGGCAGCGACACUGCGAGGUGAAGCCAAUCCCGUAAAAUCGGUCUCAGUCCGGAUUGGAGUCUGCAACUCGACUCCAUGAAGUUGGAAUCGCUAGUAAUCGUGGAUCAGCAUGCCACGGUGAAUACGUUCCCGGGCCUU
This 503-nucleotide ribosomal RNA is filed under the name uncultured Desulfobulbus sp. Its description in RNAcentral is "bacterial SSU rRNA". It matches the Rfam family "Bacterial small subunit ribosomal RNA", at positions 904 to 1382 of the family's 1533-position model. Lineage: Bacteria; Pseudomonadati; Thermodesulfobacteriota; Desulfobulbia; Desulfobulbales; Desulfobulbaceae. The record is from RNAcentral.